GUGGGGAAUAUUGGACAAUGGGCGAAAGCCUGAUCCAGCAAUGCCGCGUGAGUGAUGAAGGCCUUAGGGUUGUAAAGCUCUUUUACCAGGGAUGAUAAUGACAGUACCUGGAGAAUAAGCUCCGGCUAACUCCGUGCCAGCAGCCGCGGUAAUACGGAGGGAGCUAGCGUUGUUCGGAAUUACUGGGCGUAAAGCGCGCGUAGGCGGCUACUCAAGUCGGGGGUGAAAGCCCGGGGCUCAACCCCGGAACUGCCCUCGAAACUAGGUAGCUAGAAUCUUGGAGAGGCGAGUGGAAUUCCGAGUGUAGAGGUGAAAUUCGUAGAUAUUCGGAAGAACACCAGUGGCGAAGGCGACUCGCUGGACAAGUAUUGACGCUGAGGUGCGAAAGCGUGGGGAGCAAACAGGAUUAGAAACCCUUGUAGUCC
RNAcentral lists this ribosomal RNA (425 nucleotides) under uncultured bacterium. RNAcentral describes it as "partial 16S ribosomal RNA". It matches the Rfam family "Bacterial small subunit ribosomal RNA", at positions 354 to 796 of the family's 1533-position model. The record is from RNAcentral.